This 660-nucleotide ribosomal RNA is filed under the name Mucor flavus. Its description in RNAcentral is "eukaryotic LSU rRNA". It matches the Rfam family "Eukaryotic large subunit ribosomal RNA", at positions 50 to 613 of the family's 3401-position model. Lineage: Eukaryota; Fungi; Mucoromycota; Mucoromycetes; Mucorales; Mucoraceae. The record is from RNAcentral.
GCGGAGGAAAAGAAAAUAACAAUGAUUUCCCUAGUAACGGCGAGUGAAGAGGAAAGAGCUCAAAGUUGGAACCUGUUUGGCUUAGCCAAACCGGAUUGUAAACUGUAGAAGUGUUUUCCAGACACGCCUGGUAAAAAAGUCCUUUGGAACAGGGCAUCAUAGAGGGUGAGAAUCCCGUCUUUGGCCAGAGCUGUUGUCUUUUGUGAUACAUUUUCAAAGAGUCAGGUUGUUUGGGAAUGCAGCCUAAAUUGGGUGGUAAAUCUCACCUAAAGCUAAAUAUUUGCGAGAGACCGAUAGCGAACAAGUACCGUGAGGGAAAGAUGAAAAGAACUUUGAAAAGAGAGUUAAACAGUAUGUGAAAUUGUUAAAAGGGAACCGUUUGGAGCCAGACUGGCUUGACUGUGAUCAAUCUAGGCUUCGGCCUGGAUGCACUUGCGGUUUAUGCCUGCCAACGACAAUUUUUUUUGAGGGAAAAAACUAUUUGGAAUGUGGCCCCCUUUCGGGGGGGUGUUAUAGCCUUAUAGAAAAUACCUUGAAUUGGAUUGAGGAACGCAGUGAAUGCCUUUAGGCAAGAUUGCUGGGCGCUUUCGCUAAUAAAUGCUAGAAUUUCUGCUUCGGGUGGUGCUAGUGUUUAAAGGAGAAACUCGCUUGGUAUAUUUU